Molecule: long non-coding RNA, 1276 nt
Organism: Camellia sinensis
Lineage: Eukaryota; Viridiplantae; Streptophyta; Magnoliopsida; Ericales; Theaceae
Source: RefSeq, a predicted model, not a curated record
CAGUUUAUCUGUUUCUUUCUCUCUCUGGGGUUUUUGAUCGGCAAUAAAUGAUGCGUUCUUCAUGUUCGACAACAGCAGCCAAAAGUAGGCCCAAGUCCAUACGAUUUACAUACCUUAGAAGGCUGCCUUCAAGUUUCGCAAGUACACCAAUCAUGUUUGUGACGGUGCCCCUCACAACAUCUUGGUCAUUCUCAAAUACAUUGCAAUCUAGGAUUCAUCUGUAAAGGAAAAAUCCUAUGGACCCAUAUCCUCGUCUAAUUUAUGGAGAGAUACAUCUGGUCAUAAAGCAAACCAAGACACAACAAUGGAUGCUAUGGCAGUUGAAAAUUCGGAGUGCUCUGAAUAACUUGACAAACACAUCUAACCAGCUCACAACAACUUCUAGUCCUCUUGACAUGGUAACUCGACAUCAAGUAUGGUCCGUGUCAUCAAUAUAAGAUGUCUCUCUUACUCAGGUACCCACUAAGUGCUAAUCACAUUGUUCAAAUUUACUUCCAACUCUAUUUUAGAAUAGCAUGCAAAAUUUGUUUUACAGCUUUAUUUUACAAUGUAUAUCACUUUCAGUUGUGAUCAUCUUCACUCUGACACUUUGUACUAGUUUAUUUUUAAUAUAUUAUUUAUUAAUUGUAAAUUUAUAAUUACUUAAGUAGUUAAAUCUUGAUUUAUAGGUGGGAGAUAUAGUUGUUCUAAAAAGUAUCAUUAGGCCAACAGAAACAGUUGCAAUCGGGGUACUUAAAAGCACAGACCCAUCUAAAGAAGUAGAAGGGGAAGAACUAGGACCUGACUAUUGGGAGAUCGCUGUUCAAGUGCUAGUCAAACUGUCAGGACCCGAACUCGCCCCUAUGGAUUAAGGUCAUAACCGACCAGUAAUCAAGGGAUUACCUGCGGCCUCAAACCAAACAAAACGUAUUCCAUCAGAGUUAAGGGGCCAAACGGAAGCAAACUUGCAAAUUGUCCAUAGAGCCGUGCUUACAUGGCACAUCAAAUAACUCAUAUCAGCAUUCAUUAAUAACUCACACUAAAAAGGAAAUCAACUUAAAGUGUUAUACACACACAGAAUCAUUCAAGUCUUAGUCAGCCUAACCAAAACUUAUAUACAAAGGUAAUCCAACAUUUCGCCAACACAACGAGAUUACAACAAGAGAUCAAAAGAGGUGAAAGUAAGUCUCAUGCGUGAGACGUUUAGGGCUGACUCUCCAAAACUUGACCUUUCUCACAGACUUCAUCAGGGCUGGGUUUGGACAUCUCUUUGCUCACCUACAUACACAUGAAUGAG